Molecule: ribosomal RNA, 468 nt
Filed under: uncultured bacterium
Lineage: Bacteria
Description: partial 16S ribosomal RNA
Rfam family: Bacterial small subunit ribosomal RNA
Source: RNAcentral
GACGAACGCUGGCGGCGUGCUUAACACAUACAAGUCGAACGGAAAGGCCCUGCUUUUGUGGGGUGCUCGAGUGGCGAACGGGUGAGUAACACGUGAGUAACCUGCCCUUGACUUUGGGAUAUCUUCAGGAAACUGGGGCUAAUACCGGAUAGGAGCUCCUGCUGCAUGGUGGGGGUUGGAAAGUUUCGGCGGUUGGGGAUGGACUCGCGGCUUAUCAGCUUGUUGGUGGGGUAGUGGCUUACCAAGGCUUUGACGGGUAGCCGGCCUGAGAGGGUGACCGGCCACAUUGGGACUGAGAUACGGCCCAGACUCCUACGGGAGGCAGCAGUGGGGAAUAUUGCACAAUGGGCGGAAGCCUGAUGCAGCAACGCCGCGUGCGGGAUGACGGCCUUCGGGUUGUAAACCGCUUUCGCCUGUGACGAAGCGUGAGUGACGGUAAUGGGUAAAGAAGCACCGGCUAACUACGUG